AGAGCGAACGCUGGCGGCAGGCCUAAUACAUGCAAGUCGAACGCACCUUCGGGUGAGUGGCGGACGGGUGAGUAACACGUGGGAACGUGCCUUUUGGUUCGGAAUAAUCCGGGGAAACCUGGCCUAAUACCGAAUGUGCCCCCUCCUUUAACCAGGGGGGUGGGAAAGAUUUAUCGCCAUUAGAGCGGCCCGCGUCUGAUUAGCUAGUUGGUGAGGUAAUGGCCCACCAAGGCUACGAUCAGUAGCUGGUCUGAGAGGAUGAUCAGCCACACUGGGACUGAGACACGGCCCAGACUCCUACGGGAGGCAGCAGUAGGAAUCUUGCGCAAUGGGCGAAAGCCUGACGCAGCCAUGCCGCGUGAAUGAUGAAGGUCUUAGGAUUGUAAAAUUCUUCAGCGGGAAGAUAAUGACUGUACCCGCAGAAGAAGCUCCGGCUAACUUCGUGCCAGCAGCCGCGGU
RNAcentral lists this ribosomal RNA (459 nucleotides) under uncultured bacterium. RNAcentral's name for it is "SSU rRNA". It matches the Rfam family "Bacterial small subunit ribosomal RNA", at positions 26 to 521 of the family's 1533-position model. The record is from RNAcentral.